GUGAAUCAUCGAAUUUUUGAACGCAAAUUGCACUCUCCUCGGAGAGUAUGCCUGUUUGAGGGUCAGCCUAUAAAAAAUCGACAUCGUUGCUGCUUCACGGUGACGUUCUUCGGAAAUUGCGUGAUCUUACAUCUUUUGGGAUUAAGCGACUGAAAAUUUUCUUUUUGGUUCCAUGAACGUUUCUAAUAUUUAUUUCUUUACACGUUUAAGGUAUCGACUUUUAUUAGACGUUAACAUCAUAUCGGAUCGCGACC
This 254-nucleotide unclassified non-coding RNA is filed under the name Glomus sp. Its description in RNAcentral is "partial contains 5.8S ribosomal RNA and internal transcribed spacer 2". The stretch from base 1 to 65 matches the Rfam family "5.8S ribosomal RNA", at positions 84 to 154 of the family's 154-position model. Lineage: Eukaryota; Fungi; Glomeromycota; Glomeromycetes; Glomerales; Glomeraceae. The record is from RNAcentral.